AAGUCGUAACAAGGUCUCCGUUGGUGAACCAGCGGAGGGAUCAUUACCGAGUUCUUACAGAACCCAACCCUUGUGUGAUAAGCUCUCACCCAGCUUUUACAUGGGAGUCUCGGCCUAAUCGCCGAGGCAGUGUAAAAAAAAAACCUCUGUAUCAUUAUCACAAAUUUCUGAAGACUUUUUAAAAGAGUCAAAACUUUCAACAACGGAUCUCUUGGUUCUG
RNAcentral lists this unclassified non-coding RNA (220 nucleotides) under Podospora sp. Its description in RNAcentral is "partial internal transcribed spacer region". The stretch from base 1 to 46 matches the Rfam family "Eukaryotic small subunit ribosomal RNA", at positions 1786 to 1831 of the family's 1831-position model. The record is from RNAcentral. Lineage: Eukaryota; Fungi; Ascomycota; Sordariomycetes; Sordariales; Podosporaceae.